This 440-nucleotide ribosomal RNA is filed under the name uncultured bacterium. RNAcentral's name for it is "partial 16S ribosomal RNA". It matches the Rfam family "Bacterial small subunit ribosomal RNA", at positions 338 to 795 of the family's 1533-position model. The record is from RNAcentral.
CCUACGGGUGGCAGCAGUGGGGAAUAUUGGACAAUGGGGGGAACUCUGAUCCAGCGACGCCGCGUGAGUGAAGAAGUAUUUCGGUAUGUAAAGCUCUAUCAGGAGGGAAGAAAAUGAAGGUAACUGAGUAAGAAGGCCCGGCUAACUACCUGCCAGCAGCCGCGGUAAUACGGAGGGGGCAAGGGUUAUCCGGAUUUACUGGGGGUUAAGGGAACGUAGGCGGUGAAGUAAGUUAUAUGUGAAAGGUCGGGGCCCAACCCCGGGACUGAAUUGGAAACUGUUGAACUGGAGUACAGGAGAGGUAAGUGGAAUUCCUGGUGUAGCGGUGGAAUGCGUAGAUAUUAGGAGGAACACCAGAGGCGAAGGCGACUUACUGGACUGUAACUGACGUUGAGGCUCGAAAGCGUGGGGAGCAAACAGGAUUAGAUACCCCUGUAGUC